This 451-nucleotide ribosomal RNA is filed under the name uncultured bacterium. Its description in RNAcentral is "partial 16S ribosomal RNA". It matches the Rfam family "Bacterial small subunit ribosomal RNA", at positions 354 to 796 of the family's 1533-position model. The record is from RNAcentral.
GUGGGGAAUAUUGGACAAUGGGCGAAAGCCUGAUCCAGCCAUGCCGCGUGUGUGAAGAAGGCCUUUUGGUUGUAAAGCACUUUAAGCGAGGAGGAGGCUACCGAGAUUAAUACUCUUGGAUAGUGGACGUUACUCGCAGAAUAAGCACCGGCUAACUCUGUGCCAGCAGCCGCGGUAAUACAGAGGGUGCGAGCGUUAAUCGGAUUUACUGGGCGUAAAGCGUGCGUAGGCGGCUUUUUAAGUCGGAUGUGAAAUCCCUGAGCUUAACUUAGGAAUUGCAUUCGAUACUGGGAAGCUAGAGUAUGGGAGAGGAUGGUAGAAUUCCAGGUGUAGCGGUGAAAUGCGUAGAGAUCUGGAGGAAUACCGAUGGCGAAGGCAGCCAUCUGGCCUAAUACUGACGCUGAGGUACGAAAGCAUGGGGAGCAAACAGGAUUAGAAACCCCGGUAGUCC